ACCCUCCAGACUCUCCUUACCCCUCAGAUCUCAACAUUGGUCUGAGUGGCCAUCAAAGGACAAAAAGUGAAAUUGAAGUGGACUUGGAUUCCUUAGGGAUAUACACGUUUGUUUCAAACAAAC
Molecule: small nucleolar RNA, 123 nt
Filed under: Echinops telfairi (small Madagascar hedgehog)
Lineage: Eukaryota; Metazoa; Chordata; Mammalia; Afrosoricida; Tenrecidae
Description: Small nucleolar RNA SNORA61 (ENSETEG00000025057.1)
Source: RNAcentral